UAAGGAUUCAAUUUGCUAGCUAUUUCAGACGAAGAUUCAUUCAAAUUUUGUUGCAGGUUAGAUUUAGUUACUUCUCAAUAACCUAUAUUAUGUCCUUUAAUCUCAGAAGUUUUAUUUGUUGAUUUUUCAAACUCCUUAGUUACAUGGAACUGAUCAGUAGUAUUUGCGCAUUCUUAGCAGACAGGUCAUGUAUGUUGUUAAUCAACUUCAGAGAAAGAAAGUAAUUGCAUUGUAAUUUGUCAGCAAAAAUUUGUCCAUUGCUAAUCCAUGUUCAAAACUCAUUGGAACAAACACAGGUAUGGAUCUAACAUUGGUUUAGGGUUCUACAUGCUAUUAUGUUUAAAGUUCCUUGAAUUUGAUGCCAGGUGAGGCCGAGGACCGUGAUGAAGAAGUUUAUGAAAUUUGUGUGGGUCAGAUCACGUAGGUUGU
RNAcentral lists this long non-coding RNA (429 nucleotides) under Aquilegia coerulea. Its description in RNAcentral is "long non-coding RNA (ACOE_LNC000206)". The record is from RNAcentral. Lineage: Eukaryota; Viridiplantae; Streptophyta; Magnoliopsida; Ranunculales; Ranunculaceae.